This 69-nucleotide transfer RNA is filed under the name Nemipterus randalli (Randall's threadfin bream). RNAcentral describes it as "tRNA-Glu". It matches the Rfam family "tRNA". From Rfam's summary of the family: Transfer RNA (tRNA) molecules are approximately 80 nucleotides in length. Their secondary structure includes four short double-helical elements and three loops (D, anti-codon, and T loops). The record is from RNAcentral. Lineage: Eukaryota; Metazoa; Chordata; Actinopteri; Spariformes; Nemipteridae.
GUUUCUGUAGUUAAAUAAUAACGGUGGUUUUUCAAGCCAUUAUUCUUGGUUAAAAUCCGAGUGGAAAUU